This 346-nucleotide ribosomal RNA is filed under the name Leotiomycetes sp. LF826. Its description in RNAcentral is "SSU rRNA". It matches the Rfam family "Eukaryotic small subunit ribosomal RNA", at positions 594 to 945 of the family's 1831-position model. The record is from RNAcentral. Lineage: Eukaryota; Fungi; Ascomycota; Leotiomycetes.
AUAGCGUAUAUUAAAGUUGUUGCAGUUAAAAAGCUCGUAGUUGAACCUUGGGCCUGGCUGGCCGGUCCGCCUCACCGCGUGCACUGGUCCGGCCGGGCCUUUCCUCCUGGGGAGCCGCAUGCCCUUCACUGGGUGUGUCGGGGAACCAGGACUUUUACUUUGAAAAAAUUAGAGUGUUCAAAGCAGGCCUAUGCUCGAAUACAUUAGCAUGGAAUAAUAGAAUAGGACGUGUGGUUCUAUUUUGUUGGUUUCUAGGACCGCCGUAAUGAUUAAUAGGGAUAGUCGGGGGCAUCAGUAUUCAAUUGUCAGAGGUGAAAUUCUUGGAUUUAUUGAAGACUAACUACUG